RNAcentral lists this ribosomal RNA (314 nucleotides) under Shigella flexneri. Its description in RNAcentral is "bacterial SSU rRNA". It matches the Rfam family "Bacterial small subunit ribosomal RNA", at positions 20 to 332 of the family's 1533-position model. The record is from RNAcentral. Lineage: Bacteria; Pseudomonadati; Pseudomonadota; Gammaproteobacteria; Enterobacterales; Enterobacteriaceae.
UGGCUCAGGACGAACGCUGGCGGCAGGCCUAACACAUGCAAGUCGAACGGUAACAGGAAACAGCUUGCUGUUUCGCUGACGAGUGGCGGACGGGUGAGUAAUGUCUGGGAAACUGCCUGAUGGAGGGGGAUAACUACUGGAAACGGUAGCUAAUACCGCAUAACGUCGCAAGACCAAAGAGGGGGACCUUCGGGCCUCUUGCCAUCGGAUGUGCCCAGAUGGGAUUAGCUUGUUGGUGGGGUAACGGCUCACCAAGGCGACGAUCCCUAGCUGGUCUGAGAGGAUGACCAGCCACACUGAACUAGACACGUUCC